GAGUGGCGAAAGGGGCAGUAAGGCGUGGCUAACCUACCCCGGGGACGGGGAUAGCCUCCCUAACGGGAGGGUAAUACCCGGCGAGUUGGCCGAGGGGCAUCCCUUGGCCAGGAAACGAGUUUCGCCUCGGGAGGGGGUCACGUGGUAUUAGCUAGACGGCGGGGUAACGGCCCACCGUGGCCGAGAUGCCUAGCGGGUGUGAGAGCACGACCCGCGCCACUGGCACUGAGACACUGGCCAGACUCCUACGGGAGGCUGCAGUCGAGGAUCUUCGGCAAUGGGCGCAAGCCUGACCGAGCGACGCCGCGUGCGCGAUGAAGGCCUUCGGGUUGUAAAGCGCUGUCGAGGGGGAGGAAAGCCCGCAAGGGCCUGACCUAUCCCUGGAGGAAGCACGGGCUAAGUUCGUGCCAGCGGCCGCGGUAAUACGAACCGUGCGAACGUUGUUCGGAAUCACUGGGCUU
Molecule: ribosomal RNA, 461 nt
Filed under: uncultured bacterium
Lineage: Bacteria
Description: bacterial SSU rRNA
Rfam family: Bacterial small subunit ribosomal RNA
Source: RNAcentral